Molecule: small nucleolar RNA, 141 nt
Organism: Sorex fumeus (smoky shrew)
Lineage: Eukaryota; Metazoa; Chordata; Mammalia; Eulipotyphla; Soricidae
Product: U8 small nucleolar RNA
Exons: 1
Source: RefSeq, a predicted model, not a curated record
UUUACUGUUGGGAGUCUCCCAUCCUUACCUGUUCCUCUAAUCAUGAGGGCAGAUAGAACAUGAUAAUUGUAGUUGACUUGAUUUGUGAUUAAUGUCUCUGUGUGAUUAGGGCUCACAGCACCCUAAUUACUCCUUCCUGAU